CCAAAAAUCUAGCUCCCCUAAACCUAAUGAACCUCCCACAAUUCAAAUACCAAAUAAAACAUUUUGUACAUAAAGUAUAGGCGAUAAAAAAAUGUCUAGAAGCAAUAGAGUUAGUACCGUAAGGGAAUGAUGAAAUAAUAAUGAAAAACUGCAAGCACAAAAAAGUAGAGCUACAACCUCGUACCUUUUGCAUCAUGGUCUAACGAGUCCAACCAAGCAAAAUGCACUUUAAGUUUGACCCCCCGAAACUAGGUGAGCUACUCAAAAACAGCCUUUAGGGCCAACCCGUCUCUGUUGCAAAAGAGUGGGAAGAUUCUUGAGUAGGGGUGACAGACCUAUCGAACCUAGAGAUAGCUGGUUAUUCAGAAAAAGGAUUUAAGUCCUGCCUUAAGGUUUUCCGUAUAAUCGAGCACUUUUUUAACCUUAAGAGUUAUUCAAAUAAGGUACAGCCUAUUUGAAUUAGGAUACAACCUCUAUCAA
Molecule: ribosomal RNA, 480 nt
Filed under: Microhyla pulchra
Lineage: Eukaryota; Metazoa; Chordata; Amphibia; Anura; Microhylidae
Description: partial large subunit ribosomal RNA
Rfam family: Bacterial large subunit ribosomal RNA (bases 161-480)
Source: RNAcentral